UCUGCCCUGGGUUAGUCGGGGCCUAAGGCGAGGCCGACAGGCGUAGUCGAUGGAUAACGGGUUGAUAUUCCCGUACCGGUGAAAAACCGCCCAUACUGAUAUUGUGAUGCUAACCAUGCGAAGCAUGAUGUGCAGGCUUUUGUUUGUGUGUUGUGUGGGUUGUGGGACCCGAUCUUUGGAGGUAAACGUGUUAACAGGUGUGACGCAGGAAGGUAGCCAAGCCACGCGAUGGUUGUCGUGGUCUAAGCGUGUAGGGUUGUCGGUUGUUAAAUGCGCCGGCUGUGUGCCUGAGACGUGAUGGGACCCCGUUUUUGGGGGAUUUGGUGAUCCUAUGCUGCCGAGAAAAGCAUCGGCGUGAGGUUUUAGCUGCCCGUACCCGAAACCGACACAGGUGAUCAGGUAGAGAAUACUAAGGCGAUCGAGAGAAUCAUGGUUAAGGAACUCGGCAAAAUGCCCCCGUAACUUCGGGAGAAGGGGGGCCCUGAGCGUGAUCUGCCCGUGCGGUGGGGAGCGUGUAGGGGUCGCAGAGACCAGGGGGAAGCGACUGUUUAUCAAAAACACAGGUCCGUGCGAAGUCGUAAGACGAGGUAUACGGACUGACUCCUGCCCGGUGCUGGAAGGUUAAGAGGAUUGGUUAGCCCUGUGUGGGCGAAGCUGAGAAUUUAAGCCCCAGUAAACGGCGGUGGUAACUAUAACCAUCCUAAGGUAGCGAAAUUCCUUGUCGGGUAAGUUCCGACCUGCACGAAUGGAGUAACGACUUCCCUACUGUCUCAACCAUGAACUCGGUGAAAUUGCAGUACGAGUAAAGAUGCUCGUUUCGCGCAGCAGGACGGAAAGACCCCGUGACCUUUACUAUAGUUUGGUAUUGGUGUUUGGGUUGGCUUGUGUAGGAUAGGUGGGAGACUGUGAAGCUGUCACGCUAGUGGUGGUGGAGUCGUUGUUGAAAUACCACUCUGGUCAAUCUGGAUGUCUAACUUCGGGCCAUGAUCUGGUUCAGGGACAGUGCCUGAUGGGUAGUUUAACUGGGGCGGUUGCCUCCUAAAGUGUAACGGAGGCGCCCAAAGGUUCCCUCAGCCUGGUUGGCAAUCAGGUGUUGAGUGUAAGUGCACAAGGGAGCUUGACUGUGAGAGUGGCGACUCGAGCAGGGACGAAAGUCGGGACUAGUGAUCCGGCAGUGGCUUGUGGAAGCGCUGUCGCUCAACGGAUAAAAGGUACCUCGGGGAUAACAGGCUGAUCUUGCCCAAGAGUCCAUAUCGACGGCAUGGUUUGGCACCUCGAUGUCGGCUCGUCGCAUCCUGGGGCUGGAGUCGGUCCCAAGGGUUGGGCUGUUCGCCCAUUAAAGCGGUACGCGAGCUGGGU
RNAcentral lists this ribosomal RNA (1359 nucleotides) under human metagenome. RNAcentral's name for it is "bacterial LSU rRNA". It matches the Rfam family "Bacterial large subunit ribosomal RNA", at positions 1369 to 2610 of the family's 2925-position model. The record is from RNAcentral.